This 151-nucleotide unclassified non-coding RNA is filed under the name uncultured Sordariales. Its description in RNAcentral is "sequence contains ITS1". Lineage: Eukaryota; Fungi; Ascomycota; Sordariomycetes; Sordariales. The record is from RNAcentral.
CUGAGUGAAAACUCACCAGCCCAUUGUUUAUUUACUCUAUUUGCACUUCUCCGGCAGGCGGUUCCAGGGCGGGACCGAGCCUAUGGCACCUGCCGAAGGGGGAACUAUUGCUCUGUAUUUAUACUGUCUGAGAAAGCCAAAAAGAAUAUCA